This 1047-nucleotide ribosomal RNA is filed under the name Triticum aestivum (bread wheat). Its description in RNAcentral is "partial small subunit ribosomal RNA". Lineage: Eukaryota; Viridiplantae; Streptophyta; Magnoliopsida; Poales; Poaceae. The record is from RNAcentral.
AUGGCGGAAGCUUCUAGAACCUCCGAGGCGCGCCGCGACGCCGUGUUCGCGCGGUGGGUGAUUUUCUCGCCGGCGCGCUCCCGUCGCCCCACCGACCUCAAGUCCCACGGCCCGGCAAACCCUAGCCCCGGCCCCGACGAUGGCGCCCCCAAGCCGUCCUGCCCCUUCUGCCUCGGCCGCGAGUCCGAGUGCGCGCCGGAGAUAUUCCGCGUGCCGCCUCCCGACGCGUCGCCGCCGUGGCGGAUCCGCGUGAUCGAGAACCUCUUCCCAGCGCUGCGGCGCGAGGCGGCGCCGCCCGCACCGGAGGACGAGGAGCCCGUCGGCGCGGGGGAAUGCGCCGUGAGGGGGUUCGGGUUCCAUGACGUGGUCAUCGAGACGCCGCACCAUGAAGUCCGGCUCUGGGAUCUGGACGCGGAGGGGGUCCGCGACGUCCUGCUUGCGUACGCGCGUCGGGUGCAGCAGCUGGCCGAGCACCCAGCGGUGAAGUAUGUUCAGGUGUUCAAGAACCAGGGGGCAUCUGCCGGAGCUUCAAUGGCACACUCACACAGCCAGAUGUUGGGAACUCCUUUUGUCCCUCCAUCUGUUACCUCCCGGCUUAACUGCAUGAAGGAGGUCUUCGAGAGGUCAGGAAAGUGCAGCCUCUGUGUGGUUCCGUCCAAGGAUAUCUUGGUCAGUGAGACGCACAAUUUUUCUGCAUUUGUCCCUUUUGCAGCUUCUUAUCCAUUUGAGAUAUGGAUCGUUCCGCGGCAACAUAGCUCCUACUUCCAUGAAACAGAUCAGGAUAAGGUAUUGGAUCUUGCGGGUCUGUUGAAAAGCAUGCUUCAUAAGUUGUGUAAGCAACUCAAUGAUCCCCCAUUCAACUAUAUGAUCCACAGCGCACCGUUUGGACUCUCCUCAUCUUGUCUACCUUACACGCACUGGUUCCUCCAAAUAGUGCCACAGUUGAGUGUAAUCGGUGGAUUCGAGAUGGGAAGCGGGUGCCACAUAAACCCAGUUUUCCCUGAAGACGCUGCAAAAAUUCUGAGGGAAAUCGACGGCUCAGUAUAG